RNAcentral lists this ribosomal RNA (442 nucleotides) under uncultured bacterium. RNAcentral describes it as "partial 16S ribosomal RNA". It matches the Rfam family "Bacterial small subunit ribosomal RNA", at positions 338 to 795 of the family's 1533-position model. The record is from RNAcentral.
CCUACGGGGGGCAGCAGUGGGGAAUAUUGGGCAAUGGGCGCAAGCCUGACCCAGCAACGCCGCGUGAAGGAAGAAGGCUUUCGGGUUGUAAACUGCUUUUAUAAGCGAGAAAUAUGAUGGUAACUUAUGAAUAAGGAUCGGCUAACUACGUGCCAGCAGCCGCGGUCAUACGUAGGAUCCGAGCAUUAUCCGGAGUGACUGGGUGUAAAGAGUUGCAUAGGUGGCAUAAUAAGUAGCUAGUGAAAUCUGGUGGCUCAACCAUUCAGACUAUUAGCUAAACUGUUAAGCUCGAGACCGUUAGGGGUAACUGGAAUUUCUAGUGUAGGAGUGAAAUCCGUAGAUAUUAGAAGGAACACCAAUAGCGUAGGCAGGUUACUGGGACGGUUCUGACACUAAGGCACGAAAGCGUAGGGAGCAAACGGGAUUAGAUACCCUUGUAGUC